This 425-nucleotide ribosomal RNA is filed under the name uncultured bacterium. RNAcentral describes it as "bacterial SSU rRNA". It matches the Rfam family "Bacterial small subunit ribosomal RNA", at positions 354 to 796 of the family's 1533-position model. The record is from RNAcentral.
GUGGGGAAUCUUGCACAAUGGGCGAAAGCCUGAUGUAGCCAUGCCGCGUGAAUGAUGAAGGCCUUAGGGUUGUAAAAUUCUUUCGUCAGGGAUGAUAAUGACCGUACCUGAAGAAGAAGCCCCGGCUAACUUCGUGCCAGCAGCCGCGGUAAUACGAAGGGGGCUAGCGUUGUUCGGAAUUACUGGGCGUAAAGCGCACGUAGGCGGACUUUUAAGUCAGGUGUGAAAUCCCGGGGCUCAACCUCGGAACUGCAUUUGAAACUGGAAGUCUUGAGAUCAGGAGAGGUUAGCGGAAUACCGAGUGUAGAGGUGAAAUUCGUAGAUAUUCGGUGGAACACCAGUGGCGAAGGCGGCUAACUGGACUGAUACUGACGCUGAGGUGCGAAAGUGUGGGGAGCAAACAGGAUUAGAUACCCCAGUAGUCC